AACGCGUAGGCAACCUACCCUUUAGACGGGGACAACAUUCCGAAGGGAGUGCUAAUACCGGAUGUGAUCAUCUUGCCGCAUGGCAGGAUGAAGAAAGAUGGCCUCUACAAGUAAGCUAUCGCUAAAGGAUGGGCCUGCGUCUGAUUAGCUAGUUGGUAGUGUAACGGACUACCAAGGCGAUGAUCAGUAGCCGGUCUGAGAGGAUGAACGGCCACAUUGGGACUGAGACACGGCCCAAACUCCUACGGGAGGCAGCAGUGGGGAAUCUUCCGCAAUGGACGAAAGUCUGACGGAGCAACGCCGCGUGAGUGAUGAAGGAUUUCGGUCUGUAAAGCUCUGUUGUUUAUGACGAACGUGCAGUGUGUGAACAAUGCAUUGCAAUGACGGUAGUAAACGAGGAAGCCACGGCUAACUACGUGCCAGCAGCCGCGGUAAUACGUAGGUGGCGAGCGUUGUCCGGAAUUAUUGGGCGUAAAGAGCAUGUAGGCGGCUUAAUAAGUCGAGCGUGAAAAUGCGGGGCUCAACCCCGUAUGGCGCUGGAAACUGUUAGGCUUGAGUGCAGGAGAGGAAAGGGGAAUUCCCAGUGUAGCGGUGAAAUGCGUAGAUAUUGGGAGGAACACCAGUGGCGAAGGCGCCUUUCUGGACUGUGU
RNAcentral lists this ribosomal RNA (650 nucleotides) under uncultured bacterium. RNAcentral's name for it is "bacterial SSU rRNA". It matches the Rfam family "Bacterial small subunit ribosomal RNA", at positions 112 to 739 of the family's 1533-position model. The record is from RNAcentral.